GUCCCUACGGGAGGCAGCAGUGGGAAUAUUGGGCAAUGGAGGAAACUCUGACCCAGCAAUGCCGCGAGAAUGAAGAAGGUCUUCGGAUUGAAAAGUUCUUUAGUCAGGGAAGAAGUCAAUGACGGUACCUGAAGAAUAAGCUCCGGCUAACUACGUGCCAGCAGCCGCGGUAAUACGUAGGGAGCAAGCGUUGUUCGGAAUGACUGGGCGUAAAGGGUGCGGAGGCGGUUGUACAAGUUAGAAGUGAAAUACCCAGGGCUUAACUCGGGUGCUGCUUCUAAAAAUGUUUGACUUGAGUG
RNAcentral lists this ribosomal RNA (299 nucleotides) under uncultured bacterium. Its description in RNAcentral is "partial 16S ribosomal RNA". It matches the Rfam family "Bacterial small subunit ribosomal RNA", at positions 335 to 648 of the family's 1533-position model. The record is from RNAcentral.